RNAcentral lists this ribosomal RNA (293 nucleotides) under uncultured bacterium. RNAcentral's name for it is "partial 16S ribosomal RNA". It matches the Rfam family "Archaeal small subunit ribosomal RNA", at positions 455 to 747 of the family's 1478-position model. The record is from RNAcentral.
GUGCCAGCAGCCGCGGUAAUACCGGCAGCUCGAGUGAUGUCCAAUCUUAUUGGGCCUAAAGCGUCCGUAGCUGGCCUAACAAGUCCGUCGGGAAAUCCACGUGCUUAACACGUGGGCGACCGACGGAAACUGUUCGGCUUGGGGCCGGAGGACCCGAGGGGUACGUCCGGGGUAGGAGUGAAAUCCUGUAAUCCUGGACGGACCGCCGGUGGGGAAACCACCUCAGGAGAACGGAUCCGACAGUGAGGGACGAAAGCCAGGGUCUCGAACCGGAUUAGAUACCCGAGUAGUCC